RNAcentral lists this ribosomal RNA (817 nucleotides) under uncultured bacterium. RNAcentral's name for it is "bacterial SSU rRNA". It matches the Rfam family "Bacterial small subunit ribosomal RNA", at positions 71 to 864 of the family's 1533-position model. The record is from RNAcentral.
AGAUUUACUUCGGUAAUGACGUUCCGUAAGCGAGCGGCGGAUGGGUGAGUAACACGUGGGGAACCUGCCCCUAAGUCUGGGAUACCAUUUGGAAACAGGUGCUAAUACCGGAUAAUAAAGCAGAUCGCAUGAUCAGCUUUUGAAAGGCGGCGUAAGCUGUCGCUAAGGGAUGGCCCCGCGGUGCAUUAGCUAGUUGGUAAGGUAACGGCUUACCAAGGCGACGAUGCAUAGCCGAGUUGAGAGACUGAUCGGCCACAUUGGGACUGAGACACGGCCCAAACUCCUACGGGAGGCAGCAGUAGGGAAUCUUCCACAAUGGACGCAAGUCUGAUGGAGCAACGCCGCGUGAGUGAAGAAGGUUUUCGGAUCGUAAAGCUCUGUUGUUGGUGAAGAAGGAUAGAGGUAGUAACUGGCCUUUAUUUGACGGUAAUCAACCAGAAAGUCACGGCUAACUACGUGCCAGCAGCCGCGGUAAUACGUAGGUGGCAAGCGUUGUCCGGAUUUAUUGGGCGUAAAGCGAGCGCAGGCAGAAAAAUAAGUCUAAUGUGAAAGCCCUCGGCUUAACCGAGGAACUGCAUCGGAAACUGUUUUUCUUGAGUGCAGAAGAGGAGAGUGGAACUCCAUGUGUAGCGGUGGAAUGCGUAGAUAUAUGGAAGAACACCAGUGGCGAAGGCGGCUCUCUGGUCUGCAACUGACGCUGAGGCUCGAAAGCAUGGGUAGCGAACAGGAUUAGAUACCCUGGUAGUCCAUGCCGUACACGAUGAGUGCUAAGUGUUGGGAGGUUUCCGCCUCUCAGUGCUGCAGCUAACGCAUUAAG